RNAcentral lists this long non-coding RNA (1150 nucleotides) under Numida meleagris (helmeted guineafowl). RNAcentral describes it as "lncRNA (ENSNMEG00000005748.1)". The record is from RNAcentral. Lineage: Eukaryota; Metazoa; Chordata; Aves; Galliformes; Numididae.
CUUUGUUUUCCCCACAAAAAUUAUGCAGAGAUCUACACUGACUAUAAGGAGAGCCUACAAGGAUUAAACAUGUACCUUAGAUGUCUUCAUGUCUUCUUUACCUGAGGAUAAGUGAGAUUUUUCUGGCAUUUGUAUUUUAACUUUUGCACUGCGUGGCAGAAAUGCUCACAAAUGAAUUGUUAGUUCAGAAAUGAUAGACUCCUAACAUCAGUGGCAUCUAAUUUUCAAUCUGGUAAGAGAAGGAUGAUGAUAUUAUUUCCUUAACCUAGCAUAUCCAUGGAAACAUCCGCUUCUUCAGAGCUGUCCGCACACCAAACUCAGUGGACACCAGUCCCAGUCCUGCCCUCUUCCUCAGAGCUUGCCUGGAGGCUGUAGGGAGCUUGAGGCUGUCUGCUGGACUCCUCUUGUUGUCCCAGCACAGCAGCUCAGUGAACACCAGUCCCAGUCCUGCUCUAUUCCUCAGAGCUCACCUGGAGGCUGCAGGGAGCUCGGGACUGUCUGCUGGACUCCUCCCAUUGUCCCAGUACAGUCAGAGGACACCAGUCCCAGUCCAACUCCUUCCCUUUUCCUCAGAGCUUGGGAAAGAAAAGGACCAUUCGUGAUUGUUUGCUCAUUUAGGAUAAAGAUAUAGUAAAAUACGGGACAGUAAAAAUGGGAACUGAAUGCAAACCAAGCAUAAGAAGGAGAAAGAAAAGGAGAAGGAGAAAGAAAAAGGGAAAGUAGUAUUGCAAGAAGAAAUAGAAUGAAAAACAGAGGAAAAUAUUAAUCUGCUCUGCAAGAACGAAGGAUGAUUUAAAUUUUAUCAAGAUUGAGCAAAGUUUCACUUUUCAAGUGUUUUGGAUCUACCAUUAGAGGUGAGAUCUUUCUGUCAGUCUUGUGAGAAUACUCAAAAUCUUAGCCAAUUUACCUCUUCUCAUGUUGAUAGAAGUCAAGACAUUUAAAGUCAUUAAUGCAUAAAAUUUACCUAUAGAUGAUAAUGAAUCAUAAAUCCUUAAAUUUUUUUUAAUAAUUACAUUUCUGUAACUAUUUUGAGGCUAUUAAAAGACAUGUUGGCAUAUCCCUCUGCAGAGAAAAAUCUGCAGGGAUGAAGAGUUUUUUACUGCUGAAUACAAAUAAUAAAACAAAUUCUUCUUGUCUCUAGAAACCUUGG